RNAcentral lists this ribosomal RNA (374 nucleotides) under uncultured Pseudomonadaceae bacterium. RNAcentral's name for it is "bacterial SSU rRNA". It matches the Rfam family "Bacterial small subunit ribosomal RNA", at positions 1161 to 1533 of the family's 1533-position model. The record is from RNAcentral. Lineage: Bacteria; Pseudomonadati; Pseudomonadota; Gammaproteobacteria; Pseudomonadales; Pseudomonadaceae.
AACUGGAGGAGGGUGGGGAUGACGUCAAGUCAUCAUGGCCCUUACGGCCUGGGCUACACACGUGCUACAAUGGUCGGUACAGAGGGUUGCCAAGCCGCGAGGUGGAGCUAAUCCCAGAAAACCGAUCGUAGUCCGGAUCGCAGUCUGCAACUCGACUGCGUGAAGUCGGAAUCGCUAGUAAUCGCGAAUCAGAAUGUCGCGGUGAAUACGUUCCCGGGCCUUGUACACACCGCCCGUCACACCAUGGGAGUGGGUUGCACCAGAAGUAGCUAGUCUAACCUUCGGGAGGACGGUUACCACGGUGUGAUUCAUGACUGGGGUGAAGUCAUAACAAGGUAGCCGUAGGGGAACCUGCGGUUGGAUCAUCCCCUCCU